This 434-nucleotide ribosomal RNA is filed under the name uncultured microorganism. Its description in RNAcentral is "bacterial SSU rRNA". It matches the Rfam family "Bacterial small subunit ribosomal RNA", at positions 346 to 795 of the family's 1533-position model. The record is from RNAcentral.
GGGCUGCAGUCAAGAAUCUUCCUCAAUGGACGAAAGUCUGAAGGAGCAAUGCCGCGUGAUCGAUGAAGCUCUUCGGAGUGUAAAGAUCUUUUAUCAGGGAAGAAUCCGUGACGGUACCUGAUGAAUAAGUCACUGCUAACUUCGUGCCAGCAGCAGCGGUAAUACGAAGGUGGCAAGCGUUACCCGGAUUAACUGGGCGUAAAGCGUCCGCAGAUGGUCUGAUUAGUUUUUAGUUAAAUCCGAAGGCUCAACCUUCGGACCGCUAAAAAUACUAUUAGACUAGAGGCUGGGAGAGGCAAGCAGAAUUACUGGUGUAGUAGUUAAAUGCGUUAAUAUCAGUAAGAAUACCAAAAGCGAAGGCAGCUUGCUAGAACAGUCCUGACAUUCAGGGACGAAAGCGUGGGGAGCGAAUGGGAUUAGAUACCCGUGUAGUC